CGUGUGCCGACACCCAAUGUUUCAGUUGUUGACCUUGUGAUCAAUGUUGCGAAGAAGGGUAUUUCAGCUGAAGAUGUCAAUGCAGCAUUUAGAAAGGCAGCUGAGGGGCCACUGAAAGGUGUGUUGGAUGUGUGUGAUCUUCCGCUAGUGUCUGUUGACUUCCGCUGCACUGAUGUUUCUUCAACUAUUGACUCUUCCUUGACUAUGGUCAUGGGAGAUGAUAUGGUGAAGGUGGUUGCUUGGUAUGACAAUGAAUGGGGUUACAGGUUAGGUCACUAUCCAUAUAAUAAGUUUCAUGUCAUGUCACUAACUUCCAAUCCAAUAGAUAGAUACAAAUAGAACAUCCAUGCAUCUUUUUAUGUCGUUGCAAUAUAGAUCAUGUUAUUGAUAGUUACAAUGUUGGUAA
This 406-nucleotide long non-coding RNA is filed under the name Cicer arietinum (chickpea). RNAcentral describes it as "long non-coding RNA (CARI_LNC001549)". Lineage: Eukaryota; Viridiplantae; Streptophyta; Magnoliopsida; Fabales; Fabaceae. The record is from RNAcentral.